This 623-nucleotide long non-coding RNA is filed under the name Phoenix dactylifera (date palm). RNAcentral's name for it is "long non-coding RNA (PDAC_LNC008403)". Lineage: Eukaryota; Viridiplantae; Streptophyta; Magnoliopsida; Arecales; Arecaceae. The record is from RNAcentral.
AUGAUUUAAAAAAUAAUUGAUUUAUGAAACAAGAUUUAAAUUUUUGAAGUGACCAGAUAGCAUAUUGAUUUGGAUUUGAAUCGGUGUGUUUUGCAUGCUUAAUUUUAGUAUACUAUUAUUGCUUGAUUUAUCUAGCUUAAGUGUUCAUUUGCUUACUAAGCUGUUUAGUUGAUUAUACGAUUUCUUAUUUUUUUAUAGAUUUAGAGAACUAGCCUACCGGAGUUUUCAAUAUGGAAAAGCGGCUAAAAGAACUAUGGCACGAGCUAUCUUAGAUUAAAGUUUAUUUAAAAUUAUGUAUUACCUUAGCCUAAUGUUAAACUUUGUAAACAAUUGUAAGUUGUGUUAGUUAAUGAAAAAAAUAUAUAUACUAUUAGUUAAAUUAUUUCUGCUGCCUAAUUUUAAUGUCAUAAUGAGAUGACUUGCAUGCUCGUGAGAGAGUUUCCUACGAGUGUAUGGCAGUUGCCGUGAUCUCCGGCUCACGAUCUCAAGUCAGGGUGUGACAAUUUUGGUGGUUGUUUUCUAUUGGUGCUAUCCAGUUUAGACAUACACAUUCUAGAGAUUAUGAUAGGAUAGAAAGUCAUUGGUCACAAUGCGAGCUAGAAGAUCUCUCAAAUGAGUUAUCA